This is a long non-coding RNA of Callithrix jacchus (white-tufted-ear marmoset), 900 nucleotides long. RefSeq lists it as uncharacterized. Lineage: Eukaryota; Metazoa; Chordata; Mammalia; Primates; Cebidae. The record is from RefSeq and is a predicted model, not a curated record.
GAGACCAGAAAUGUGUGAGGGCAGCAAAAAGAGAGGCAGGUCCUGUGAGACGGUUGCUAAAAUUUACUGAGCAGGCACAACUUGCCCAUACCGGGUGCCAGUGCUUUCCAUGCCUGAGCAACCCUAUGCGGGAGGACCAGAGACCCACCUGACCUAUGAAGAAGGAACCUUAAAGAGGAUAUAGAACUACAACUCUAACUGGCUUUAGCAAUGAAGAAAUUUUCUGGUUUCACAUCCUUCAAAGGUCCAGAGGUAGCUACAGAUUCAAGAGACAUGCACCAGGAGGAGCUGGCAAGUUUCCUUGGCAAGAACAGAUGAAUAAAUAAGAAGCAUGAGCUUGCGACUUUUAGCUGAGAUCUCCUCUCCAUGGUUCUCCUCUGUGUGCUGUUCCUGGAGAUUGGCUUUUAUGGACCAUGUCAAUGAGAUUCAUUGCUUUAUGCCCUCCCACUGGAUUCAGCCAACAGGAAGUGCUGUUUAAAAACUUGGAGAGUGGCGUGGGAGAGUCAUCUCAGGGUUUAUAUUUUCCUGAGCCAGGCCCCCUUUCUCCUGGCUCAUUGCAUAUUAACGUCAUUUCUUUCCCAAAUGCUGUAGCUCCCAUCAGAAAGCCCUCUCCAGAUUCUAUUAACCUCGCUAUUCUCUUGUAUCUUUAGGCCUGACAGGAUAACAACUCCAGUCUGUUGCUAGUCCUGUGGGCUUCAUCAUGCUUCAUUUGCUUGAUUCUCCCAUUCAUUUGUAAGUAGUCCCUCAAUAAAGUCUCCUCAAUUACUCCAUCUGUGUAAACCAUCUCUGUCAUGCUAGAUCCUGACUGACAUAUCACCUAUGUAAAAGAUGACACAUGCUAUACGUGGGAUACAUUUACAUUCAAAUUGUGACAUAUUUAAGUAUGGCAUUUUUGAUGAA